AUUGAACGCUGGCGGCAUGCUUUACACAUGCAAGUCGAACGGCAGCGCGGGCUUCGGCCUGGCGGCGAGUGGCGAACGGGUGAGUAAUGCAUCGGAACGUGCCCAGUAGUGGGGGAUAGCCCGGCGAAAGCCGGAUUAAUACCGCAUACGACCUGAGGGUGAAAGCGGGGGACCGAAAGGCCUCGCGCUAUUGGAGCGGCCGAUGUCGGAUUAGCUAGUUGGUGGGGUAAAGGCUUACCAAGGCGACGAUCCGUAGCUGGUCUGAGAGGACGACCAGCCACACUGGGACUGAGACACGGCCCAGACUCCUACGGGAGGCCGCAGUGGGGAAUUUUGGACAAUGGGGGCAACCCUUAUCCAGCCAUGCCGCGUGCGGGAAGAAGGCCUUCGGGUUGUAAACCGCUUUUGUUCGGGAAGAAAUCCUCUGGGCUAAUACCCCGGGGGGAUGACGGUACCGGAAGAAUAAGCACCGGCUAACUACGUG
RNAcentral lists this ribosomal RNA (484 nucleotides) under uncultured bacterium. RNAcentral describes it as "partial 16S ribosomal RNA". It matches the Rfam family "Bacterial small subunit ribosomal RNA", at positions 28 to 507 of the family's 1533-position model. The record is from RNAcentral.